Molecule: transfer RNA, 72 nt
Filed under: Camelus bactrianus (Bactrian camel)
Lineage: Eukaryota; Metazoa; Chordata; Mammalia; Artiodactyla; Camelidae
Also listed under: 2 other names
Rfam family: tRNA
About the family: Transfer RNA (tRNA) molecules are approximately 80 nucleotides in length.
Source: Rfam by way of RNAcentral
GUGGGUGUAGCUCAGGGGUAGAGCACGUGCUUAGCAGGCAGGAGGUCCUGGAUUCAAUCCCCAGUAUCUCCA